Molecule: ribosomal RNA, 301 nt
Filed under: uncultured bacterium
Lineage: Bacteria
Description: partial 16S ribosomal RNA
Rfam family: Bacterial small subunit ribosomal RNA
Source: RNAcentral
CAGUAGCCGCGGGAAUACGGAGGGAGCUAUCGUUGUUCGGAAUUACUGGGCGUAAAGCACACGUAGGCGGCUUUGUAAGUUAGAGGUGAAAGCCUGGAGCUCAACUCCAGAAUUGCCUUUAAGACUGCAUCGCUUGAAUCCAGGAGAGGUGAGUGGAAUUCCGAGUGUAGAGGUGAAAUUCGUAGAUAUUCGGAAGAACACCAGUGGCGAAGGCGGCUCACUGGACUGGUAUUGACGCUGAGGUGCGAAAGCGUGGGGAGCAAACAGGAUUAGAUACCCCCGUAGUCCCUGUCUCUUAUAC